AUGCAGAGAUGCCAACCCAGGUGGCUGUAGAGGCGCCUGGGAGGGUGGGGCUCCUGCCUGCUCCUCGCUCCUGCCAGCUCCCUGGAACGCAGCACCGCCCUUGGUCCAGCUCCACCUCAGGGCCCCUCUCUGCCUGCCCCUGUGCCCAACUAUGCUGCCCCCACACCAGAAGGCAACUCAGCUCAGCCCCAUCGUGGAGGCUCUCAGGGGCAGGCUCCAGGGACUGUCCAUCACCUCCCCACACCUCUCCACAGUGGCAGUGGGCAAGAGCAAUGACACAGCGCCAGGGUACAGAGUGGCAGAGGCUCCGGGCCCGAGGUGGGUCCCGCCUGGCUGCAGCCGGUGGUACAAUGGCAGCAGCUGCUCGGGAUGGCCCACCACUGCCAUCAGCGGUAAGACAGAAAAGGGCUGUCAACUUUCCUACUGGGUGUUGUUUUGAUGUGGUAAAUGUUCAUUUUUCAGACUGUAUCUCUCUUCCCUUCCUAGCGCACUCAAAACAACUAGCAAUUCAGCUACUUUCUGCCCUUCUGGGUACCUGAUCAUCUCUUUUGUCCAUUUUGUAGUAUCGAAGUCACUGGGCUGGGGAUUUUGACACCAGCCAAACUUAAAUUUGAAUCCUGACUCCUCAACUUUCCAGCUGUGUUAUCUUAGACACAUCAGACAACCUUUCUAUACAGCUCAGUUUUCUCAUCUGCAAAAUGGGAAGAGUAAUAGCCAUGUUUCAAGGUGACUAAGAAAAUAGAAACAACACAUAUAACAUUCUUAGUCAUAUCUGACACCCAGUAGGCACCUGUCACCUUAUCUUCCUUCUCUUGAAUCUUCUUCUUGCCCACUUCUAACUCCCUAUGCCUGAUUAUUGAGCCCUCCCUGGGGCCCUUGGUGAGAUGAUCACUAACACAAUCAAUGGCUAAUAUGAGCCUGUAAGAAAGCGUCCCUGGGAAACAAUCAAAUUUCUGAACUAAGAUUCUUCUUCCAGGUCUUAUAAACUCUUGGGCUUUUGGACAUUCCAGUAAAAACAAUAGACUACUACUAGAUAUAUUUGCUAAUUUAAUAAAGUUGGCCACAUAUUAAGGUGCAUGUGUGUGAGCUUGGAUAGUCACAGAAUAUCUCCAGUAGAUGCACCAAAAAACUUGCUUGCUAUAUAAAGCAAAAGAACAAGUAGUAUCUGAACCUAAUGGGCAGAAAACACACCAUCUGUCAGCAGUCAAAUAUCAGGCUCAAACAUAUAAAGCAAGAGAGGAAAAUACCCCCCAAUUGCUGCCCUGUCCAAUGUGGGUUAAAUUAUAUAUAUUAUUAAAAUUAAUUUCAUUGAUUUCUUUUUACUUUUUAAAAGGUGGUUACUAGAAAAUUUUAAAUUGCCUCUGUGGCUCGCAUCUUAUUUCCACCAGGCAGUACUGCUCUAGAAUAAAAUCUAAACUUUACCUAGACCUGACCCUUAAGUCUUCAGUACCUUAGAAACAUAAAGACAUAAAGUGACUAAAUUCAAGUCUGGAAAUAGGGACUUUACUAUAUACCUACUAAGAGUACAAAGAUUAAUAAUGCAGAGUUCUUGUCUUUAAGAAAAAGAAAGUGAACUGAGAUUCAUAGAACCCUACUUUGAGCCAGGAUGUGAACAUCCCUGCAAGUUAGUAUUAUAAUUUCCUCUGUAUAACUCACUUCUAGCCUUUAAUGCCUCCUCCAUUCAGGACCCAAAAGCCUUCCUGAAACUAAUAUAAGCACAGACAUUCUCUUCUCCAUGGCCUUCUUUACACUCUUAGUCUUAAGUAUCCUCUUUCCAACUCUAGCCUGUAACUACCCUAAAAAAAAAAAAAAAA
Long non-coding RNA from Sapajus apella (tufted capuchin), 1814 nucleotides. RefSeq lists it as uncharacterized. The transcript has 2 exons. NCBI's taxonomy places the organism in Eukaryota, Metazoa, Chordata, Mammalia, Primates, Cebidae. The record is from RefSeq and is a predicted model, not a curated record.